Molecule: unclassified non-coding RNA, 111 nt
Filed under: Chryseobacterium arachidis
Lineage: Bacteria; Pseudomonadati; Bacteroidota; Flavobacteriia; Flavobacteriales; Weeksellaceae
Description: Flavo-1 RNA
Source: RNAcentral
UCUUAGCCUCGAUUGGAGCAUUUGUUUGAGCUCAUUUUUUAUGAUUCGGCGCGGCAGCUUUGCUGCCGCGCCGAAUCAUAAAAAUAGCGAGUGCGGAAAGCGAGAAAAGCU